AGCAGCCGCGGUAAUUCCAGCUCCAAUAGCGUAUAUUAAAGUUGUUGCAGUUAAAAAGCUCGUAGUUGAAUUUCGGGAUCAGUACGUCGGUCGUGCCUUCGGUAUGUACUGGUGUCACUGGUUCCUCCCUUCUGACGAACCGUCAUGCCAUUAAUUUGGUGUGGCGGGAAAUCAGGACUGUUACUUUGAAAAAAUUAGAGUGUUUAAAGCAGGCAAGCGCUUGAAUACAUUAGCAUGGAAUAAUGAAAUAGGACGUUUGAUCCUAUUUUGUUGGUUUCUAGGAUUGACGUAAUGAUUAAUAGGGAUAGUUGGGGGCAUUAGUAUUCAAUUGUCAGAGGUGAAAUUCUUGGAUUUAUUGAAGACUAACUACUGCGAAAGCAUUUGCCAAGGAUGUUUUCAUUAAUCAAGAACGAAAGUUAGGGGAUCGAAGACGAUCAGAUACCGUCGUAGUCUUAACCAUAAACUAUGCCGACUAGGGAUCGGAUGAUGUUAAUUUUUUAAUGACUCAUUCGGCGCCUUA
This 520-nucleotide ribosomal RNA is filed under the name uncultured Glomus. RNAcentral's name for it is "SSU rRNA". It matches the Rfam family "Eukaryotic small subunit ribosomal RNA", at positions 569 to 1090 of the family's 1831-position model. Lineage: Eukaryota; Fungi; Glomeromycota; Glomeromycetes; Glomerales; Glomeraceae. The record is from RNAcentral.